Molecule: ribosomal RNA, 449 nt
Filed under: uncultured prokaryote
Description: bacterial SSU rRNA
Rfam family: Bacterial small subunit ribosomal RNA
Source: RNAcentral
UGGGGAAUAUUGGACAAUGGGCGCAAGCCUGAUCCAGCAAUGCCGCGUGUGUGAAGAAGGCCUGCGGGUUGUAAAGCACUUUUAUUUGGGAAGAACGUUACUCGGUUAAGAGCUAGGUAACUUGACGGUACCAUCUGAAUAAGCACCGGCUAACUCCGUGCCAGCAGCCGCGGUAAUACGGAGGGUGCAAGCGUUAAUCGGAAUUACUGGGCGUAAAGCGUGCGUAGGCGGCUUUGUAAGUCGGAUGUGAAAGCCCCGGGCUUAACCUGGGAACUGCAUUCGAUACUGCAAGGCUAGAAUUUGGCAGAGGCUAGUGGAAUUCCAGGUGUAGCGGUGAAAUGCGUAGAGAUCUGGAGGAACAUCAGUGGCGAAGGCGACUGGCUGGGCUAAAAUUGACGCUGAGGUACGAAAGCGUGGGGAGCAAACAGGAUUAGAUACCCCCGUAGUCC